Molecule: ribosomal RNA, 468 nt
Filed under: uncultured bacterium
Lineage: Bacteria
Description: partial 16S ribosomal RNA
Rfam family: Bacterial small subunit ribosomal RNA
Source: RNAcentral
GACGAACGCUGGCGGCGUGCUUAACACAUGCAAGUCGAACGGAAAGGCCCUGCUUUUGUGGGGUGCUCGAGUGGCGAACGGGUGAGUAACACGUGAGUAACCUGCCCUUUACUUUGGGAUAACUUCAGGAAACUGGGGCUAAUACCGGAUAGGAGCUCCUGCUGCAUGGUGGGGGUUGGAAAGUUUCGGCGGUUGGGGAUGGACUCGCGGCUUAUCAGCUUGUUGGUGGGGUAGUGGCUUACCAAGGCUUUGACGGGUAGCCGGCCUGAGAGGGUGACCGGGCACAUUGGGACUGAGGUACGGCCCAGACUGCUACGGGGGGCAGCAGUGGAGAAUAUUGCACAAUGGGCGGAAGCCUGAUGCAGCAACGCCGCGUGCGGAAUGACGGCCUUCGGGUUGUAAACCGCUUUAGCCUGUGACGAAGCGUGAGUGACGGUAAUGGGUAAAGAAGCACCGGCUAACUACGUG